GAUGAACGCUAGCGGCAGGCCUAAUACAUGCAAGUCGAACGGCCCCGACACUUCGGUGUCGGGGUAGUGGCGCACGGGUGCGUAACGCGUACACAACAUACCCUUUACAGGGGGAUAGCGGCGGGAAACUACCAGUAAUACCCCAUGUCCUUGCGAGGUGGCAUCAUUUUGCAAAGAAAGUUCAAGCGGUAAAGGAUUGGUGUGCGUCCGAUUAGCUAGUUGGCGGGGUAACGGCCCACCAAGGCGACGAUCGGUAGGGGGUGUGAGAGCAUGGCCCCCCACACGGGUACGUGAGACACGGACCCGACUCCUACGGGAGGGCAGCAGUAAGGAAUAUUGGACAAUAGGACGGAUGUCUGAUCCAGCAACGCCGCGUGAGGGAGUGACGGCC
Molecule: ribosomal RNA, 391 nt
Filed under: uncultured bacterium
Lineage: Bacteria
Description: bacterial SSU rRNA
Rfam family: Bacterial small subunit ribosomal RNA
Source: RNAcentral